RNAcentral lists this ribosomal RNA (371 nucleotides) under uncultured Shimia sp. RNAcentral's name for it is "bacterial SSU rRNA". It matches the Rfam family "Bacterial small subunit ribosomal RNA", at positions 525 to 896 of the family's 1533-position model. Lineage: Bacteria; Pseudomonadati; Pseudomonadota; Alphaproteobacteria; Rhodobacterales; Roseobacteraceae. The record is from RNAcentral.
ACGGAGGGGGUUAGCGUUGUUCGGAAUUACUGGGCGUAAAGCGUACGUAGGCGGAUCAGAAAGUAUGGGGUGAAAUCCCAGGGCUCAACCCUGGAACUGCCUCAUAAACUCCUGGUCUAGAGUUCGAGAGAGGUGAGUGGAAUUCCGAGUGUAGAGGUGAAAUUCGUAGAUAUUCGGAGGAACACCAGUGGCGAAGGCGGCUCACUGGCUCGAUACUGACGCUGAGGUACGAAAGUGUGGGGAGCAAACAGGAUUAGAUACCCUGGUAGUCCACACCGUAAACGAUGAAUGCCAGUCGUCGGGUAGCAUGCUAUUCGGUGACACACCUAACGGAUUAAGCAUUCCGCCUGGGGAGUACGGUCGCAAGAUUA